GUACUUCAGUUGAUUUUCACAGCGUUAUCUCCAGCAUCUCCCAGCAUUGUUUACCUACUAUCUGCAAAUCAGGGGCCUGCAAAAUAAAAAAUCUCAGUGGCCUUUUUAGAAUUGCAUUCCAGCACAGUUCCUUGACUGAAUAACUAGAAUGUCUGCCAGGCAAGGCUAUGGGGAAGGAAGUUGUCUGUAUCUUUGAAAUGCUAUUUCAAACACGAUUCUUUUGCAGAAAUUCAGAGAGGAGUAACAGCCAAGAAGUGGUUUAUUUCCUUUGAAGUUACAGUUUCUGCCUUUUUUUCAGAUACUACCUCAUGCGGGAUGAAUUUAGACUCCAUCCUUCCAGACCUCUUUUUAUAUUUAUGCAUGAAUACCCCUAUGUGUGAGUUGUUUUGAACAUGAGAGAUACACACAUCAUGCUGCAACUUGCUUUUUGUCCUUCAACAAGAUUUUUUGAGAUCUCACCAAUUAAAGUCUACCUGGUUCUCUCCUUUGAUCUGCUGUACAGUGUUCUGCCAUAUAAACGUGCCAUUUUCUAGACUGUAACCAUUCUUCUGCUGAGAACAUGCUGUCUCCAAUUUUUCACUCUAACAAGCAAUGCUGCCGUGACUAGCCCUGACAUGCGUUCUUGGGCACCUGAACAAGUACUUCUGCAGGACACCCAUCAAAAAGUGGAGAGAUGAUGUCAUUACUUCUUUAAAAGAGCAUCUUGAUCCUUAACUCUUCGGAAGUUCCUUGAAAGCCAUGUGGGUCUGUCUGAUUUGUAUCACUAUCCCCAGAAUCCAGCACAGAGCCUGCCAGCUGGUGACUGCCUACCAUGCAUGGGGCUCCUGGUUUUUCCUUUGACCUCUUCAUUUCUCAGUCUCUUGCCUGGCUCCUCCUUGCCUCCAGCCCACUUCAAAGGUAACAGCUCAAGGUCUUCGCUCUUGGACUUUGCUUGUUUUUCCAGAGUCUCUUUCCUUUGGCCAGAAGCUCUCUUUCUAAGCUGUCCAUUAGAAUCAGUUGCGAAGGUUUUGAAAUGUACCAGCCCCCAAGCUCACUUCCCAGAAGUUCUGACAUGAUUGGCCUGCAGUGGGGUGAUUGCAGGUAAUGGUAUUUUUUUUCUCUUAGCUUUCCUUUUGAUAUUAACAGGAGACUAGAAAGGAGAACCUAGG
Molecule: non-coding RNA, 1148 nt
Organism: Sus scrofa (pig)
Lineage: Eukaryota; Metazoa; Chordata; Mammalia; Artiodactyla; Suidae
Source: RefSeq, a predicted model, not a curated record